GAUGAACGCUGGCGGCGUGCCUAAUACAUGCAAGUCGAGCGAACGGACGAGAAGCUUGCUUCUCUGAUGUUAGCGGCGGACGGGUGAGUAACACGUGGAUAACCUACCUAUAAGACUGGGAUAACUUCGGGAAACCGGAGCUAAUACCGGAUAAUAUUUUGAACCGCAUGAUUCAAAAGUGAAAGACGGUCUUGCUGUCACUUAUAGAUGGAUCCGCGCUGCAUUAGCUAGUUGGUAAGGUAACGGCUUACCAAGGCAACGAUGCAUAGCCGACCUGAGAGGGUGAUCCGCCACACUGGAACUGAGACACGGUCCAGACUCCUACGGGAGGCAGCAGUAGGGAAUCUUCCGCAAUGGGCGAAAGCCUGACGGAGCAACGCCGCGUGAGUGAUGAAGGUCUUCGGAUCGUAAAACUCUGUUAUUAGGGAAGAACAUAUGUGUAAGUAACUGUGCACAUCUUGACGGUACCUAAUCAGAAAGCCACGGCUAACUACGUG
Molecule: ribosomal RNA, 497 nt
Filed under: uncultured bacterium
Lineage: Bacteria
Description: partial 16S ribosomal RNA
Rfam family: Bacterial small subunit ribosomal RNA
Source: RNAcentral